Molecule: ribosomal RNA, 170 nt
Filed under: Vibrio cyclitrophicus
Lineage: Bacteria; Pseudomonadati; Pseudomonadota; Gammaproteobacteria; Vibrionales; Vibrionaceae
Description: partial 23S ribosomal RNA
Rfam family: Bacterial large subunit ribosomal RNA
Source: RNAcentral
GUUGUAUGGUUAAGUGACUAAGCGUACACGGUGGAUGCCUUGGCAGUCAGAGGCGAUGAAAGGCGUAAUAACUUGCGAUAAGCCCAGAUUAGGUAGUAAUAACCUUUGAGUCUGGGAUUCCUGAAUGGGGAAACCCACUUACAUAAGUAAGUAUCCUGUUGUGAAUACAU